AACGAACGCUGGCGGCAGGCCUAACACAUGCAAGUCGAGCGAGGACUUCGGUCCUAGCGGCGGACGGGUGAGUAACGCGUGGGAACGUGCCCUUUGCUUCGGAAUAGCCCUGGGAAACUGGGAGUAAUACCGGAUGAGCCCUUUGGGGGAAAGAUUUAUCGGCGAAGGAUCGGCCCGCGUUGGAUUAGGUAGUUGGUGGGGUAAUGGCCUACCAAGCCGACGAUGCAUAGCUGGUUUGAGAGGAUGAUCAGCCACACUGGGACUGAGACACGGCCCAGAAUCCUACGGGAGGCAGCAGUGGGGAAUCUUAGACAAUGGGGGAAACCCUGAUCGAGCCAUGCCGCGUGAGCGAUGAAGGCCUUAGGGUUGUAAAGCUCUUUCAGCUGGGAAGAUAAUGACGGUACCAGCAGAAGAAGCCCCGGCUAACUCCGUG
RNAcentral lists this ribosomal RNA (433 nucleotides) under uncultured bacterium. RNAcentral's name for it is "partial 16S ribosomal RNA". It matches the Rfam family "Bacterial small subunit ribosomal RNA", at positions 29 to 507 of the family's 1533-position model. The record is from RNAcentral.